This 72-nucleotide small RNA is filed under the name Arabidopsis thaliana (thale cress). RNAcentral describes it as "ATSL156220". The record is from RNAcentral. Lineage: Eukaryota; Viridiplantae; Streptophyta; Magnoliopsida; Brassicales; Brassicaceae.
AAUUUUAAUCAAAAACCAAAAAAAACAUUCGAUUUUACGGUUUUUAACCAAACCAAACCUAAACCAAAACUU